GACGAACGCUGGCGGCGUGCUUAACACAUGCAAGUCGAACGGAAAGGCCCUGCUUUUGUGGGGUGCUCGAGUGGCGAACGGGUGAGUAACACGUGAGUAACCUGCCCUUGACUUUGGGAUAACUUCAGGAAACUGGGGCUAAUACCGGAUAGGAGCUCCUGCUGCAUGGUGGGGGUUGGAAAGUUUCGGCGGUUGGGGAUGGACUCGCGGCUUAUCAGCUUGUUGGUGGGGUAGUGGCUUACCAAGGCUUUGACGGGUAGCCGGCCUGAGAGGGUGACCGGGCACAAUGGGACUGGGAAACGGGCCAGAAUCCUUCGGGAGGCAGCAGGUGGGAAUAUUGCACAAUGGGGGGAAGCCUGAAGGAGCAACGCCGCGUGCGGGAUGACGGCCUUCGGGUUGUAAACCGCUUUCGCCUGUGACGAAGCGUGAGGGACGGUAAUGGGUAAAGAAGCACCGGCUAACUACGUG
RNAcentral lists this ribosomal RNA (468 nucleotides) under uncultured bacterium. RNAcentral's name for it is "partial 16S ribosomal RNA". It matches the Rfam family "Bacterial small subunit ribosomal RNA", at positions 28 to 507 of the family's 1533-position model. The record is from RNAcentral.